Molecule: ribosomal RNA, 432 nt
Filed under: uncultured bacterium
Lineage: Bacteria
Description: partial 16S ribosomal RNA
Rfam family: Bacterial small subunit ribosomal RNA
Source: RNAcentral
ACGAACGCUGGCGGCAUGCCUCACACCUGCAAGUCGAACGAGACCUUCGGGUCUAGUGGCGCACGGGUGCGUCACGCGUGGGAACCUGCCCUUAGGUUCGGAAUAACUCCCCGAAAGGGGUGCUAAUACCGGAUAAUGUCUUCGGACCAAAGAUUUAUCGCCUUUGGAUGGGCCCGCGUUGGAUUAGCUAGUUGGUAGGGUAAAAGCCUACCAAGGCGACGAUCCAUAGCUGGUCUGAGAGGAUGAUCAGCCACACUGGGACUGAGACACGGCCCAGACUCCUACGGGAGGCAGCAGUGGGGAAUAUUGGACAAUGGGCGAAAGCCUGAUCCAGCAAUGCCGCGUGAGUGAUGAAGGCCUUAGGGUUGUAAAGCUCUUUUACCCGGGAUGAUAAUGACAGUACCGGGAGAAUAAGCGCCGGCUAACUCCGUG